Molecule: ribosomal RNA, 535 nt
Filed under: Pinnularia acrosphaeria
Lineage: Eukaryota; Bacillariophyta; Bacillariophyceae; Sellaphorales; Pinnulariaceae
Description: eukaryotic LSU rRNA
Rfam family: Eukaryotic large subunit ribosomal RNA
Source: RNAcentral
UAACUAGGCAGAGGAAAAGAAACCAACUAGGAUUGUCACAGUAAGGGCGACUGAAGUGUCAUGAGCUUAUGAUUUAAAUCAGAUAUUUAUUGUCUGAGUUGUGGUCUAAACUCUUUUGCACUGUCUGAAAAAUCAAAGUUUCUUGGAAGAGGACAGCAAAGAAGGUGAAACUCCUGUUUGAUUGGGAAGAGCAUGCGCAAGAGGAAGAGUCGAGUUGUUUGGGAUUUCAGCUCCAAGAUGGUGGUAAAUUUUAUCGAAAGCUAAAUAUUCUAUGGAAAACCGAUAGUGUACAAGUACCGUGAGGGAAAGAUGCAAAGAACUUUGAAAAGAGAGUUAAAGAGUACCUGAAAUUGUUGAAAAUGAAGCACAUGAAACUAGUGUUAAACUGAAACAUUUUUCUUUGUCUGCUUGCAUUCAAGGCAUUGUGUCCAGUGAGGUAGGCCUUAGCUUUUGCGAACAAUGGAGUUUUUGCUGUUUGCAUGAUCAUUCUUUGAUUGCUUUCACUAAGGUAAACAAAAUAGUUUUAUUUGCCCCG